UCAUGCAAAAAUGAAGAACGUAGCAAAAUGCGAUACGUGGUGUGAAUUGCAGGAUCCCGUGAACCAUCGAGUUUUUGAACGCAAGUUGAGCCCGAAGCCUUUAGGCCGAGGGCACGUCUGCCUGGGCGUCACGCACCGUUGCCCCCCAAACCCCCUCAGUCCUCCACGGAGGAUUGGAGAGGCGCGUGGGGGGCGUAAAGUGGCUUCCCGUCGGCUUUGUCCCUCGGUUGGCCUAAAAAUGGAUCCCUAGCCGCGGUGCGCGCGGCAGUCGGUGGUCAUCGAUCCCUUUCGUUACCCCGCCGCGCGCUCACGUACCGAGAAGGAUGUCACACUAGUAAACCAGACCCCUCUCUUCAGAAGAGCGGAGCUUACAUACGCGACCCCAGGUCAGGUGGGGCUUCCCGCUCAA
This 409-nucleotide ribosomal RNA is filed under the name embryophyte environmental sample. Its description in RNAcentral is "eukaryotic LSU rRNA". The stretch from base 1 to 131 matches the Rfam family "5.8S ribosomal RNA", at positions 26 to 154 of the family's 154-position model. Lineage: Eukaryota; Viridiplantae; Streptophyta. The record is from RNAcentral.